CUCUUGCCAGUGUAUGCUGACAGCAAUGCGGGUUAUGUGGGGGAAAGGAUGGUAAGAUGAACAUUUUAGAGAAAUGGUUGCUCAAGGUCUGAAAGAAGCAUUGGGGGUAUGAAGAUGAAGGCUCCACGCAAGCGUUGACAAGGAUGGAUUGAGAAUAAGGUUUAUGUACAGAAUUACCAAGAACAUUGAACUGGAUUUCGCAAGGGAUCAACUUACAGAAUCUGAGGCAUUCCCCAUGUGCCCUACCACAGAUGUGAUUACUACGCCAUCUUGAAUGAAAAAGUCAAGGACAAAAGAAUUGCAGGAUUCAUGCUGCCCAAAAUACUGCUUCUGACAUGGUAUCAAGGUUCCUUGUAUGUGUAAUGGACAUAAGACCUGCACCUUUCUCAAUGGGUGGUUGUGAGUUAAAUGGAUGAGAACGUGUAAAGCAUCCAGAAUGGUCUCCAGCGCACAGUAUGUGUUCAAUAAGCAAGCCAUUCUCCUACCUCCUCCUCCUUUGCCCAAGCCCACAUUUACAGGCUUGAAAACAGCUCAGUUGGUGGAAAAGAACCUAACUGGGUUUAAGAAUGAUCUGGGAAACUAGUUUUGUAAAAAUGUAUAUAUAAAUAUAUGUGUAUGUGUGUGAGUGUGUGUUUAUUGUACAUAUUUCAGAGACAAAUCCAGACUUGCUGGAUCAGAUUCUUUUGGCAUUGGUCCUAGCAUCACUUUCAAGCACAUACCUGUGGUUCUGCCCACAAGUACUUGAAAAUCCCUGAAAUAAAUGCUCAGACUGGUCUCCAUCUGACUCUAGUAUCAGAUACAAGAGUUUAGCUCAAAGCCAGGUCCCCUGGGAGUCGCUGACUUUUCCUUACAGUUCUGAAUCUACUUGACUCUGAGCUGACUCUAUUGUCAGAUGGAGAUGGAUUUUUACCCCAUUUUGCCACAAUGUAUGAACUUGCCUAAGUUAUUUAACCUCUGUGAACCUGAGAACUGUAUAAGGGAAAUGAUAAGCACCAAUAUGGUAGAAAAUAUGCUCAUAUGUGGGAGAGUCUAAAAACAAUUUUUUUUUUCAUUUCCUCUCUCUUUUGAUGACAUUUGGGUUGUGUGCUUCCGGAUAAUCAGGUGAGAGCCCGUACACUCACUGAUAACGUAUCUCUGGCUACUCGACCUGAUGACUUGCUCUUGGUAGGUCUCUUGCACAUGGCGAGUCCCAUCCCCAUCUAGGGGUGUGGGUCUUCCUUAGAUUCAGCCCCAGACAGUAGCACUUCCUGAUCUGAAUGCCUUAUCCUUUUCCUGACUUUGUGAUUUCCUGACCUUGUGCAUCUUGAGAGGCAGCAGUGGUCGAGGGGAAGUCGUACUGGGAUUUGGAGCUUGCCGUGACUUUCUCACCUACUAACUGCAUAACCCAGGAAGGUUCAGAGAGGCAUUUCUGGACUGUAUGAUAUAAAACAGUUUUCUUCUGGUUUACUUUCUCUAAGCACAUUUUCUUCAUGCUACUUAUCUAUGUAAUGUGAGUGUUGUAUAUGUAUUUCAGAAAUAUUAUGGGACAAUUGGCUUUAUGUCUAUCUGUCCUUCUGAACCCUGAGCUCUGUGUCUGUUUUGUUUACCGCCAUAUUUCCAGCACCUCUUGUGUAGUGCUGAUGAUCUUAUAGCAUCCCAAAACGGGUUGAAUGAAUGAAUGACUAAAUGAACAAAUAAUACAGUGACAAAAUCACUUGCCCUUUCUUCAUCGUAUGGCAAUUAUACAGCUCAAAUGAGAUAACCUAUGUGCAAAUGCUUUGUAAGCAAUAUUAACACAAGCAUGACAUACCAUAAUUUUGUUAACCUGUACCUCUCUGCAAUUUGUUGACGAUAAGCAUUUGUCCUGUAGCUACUCAAAGUGUGGUCCAAAAGCCAGUAGCAACCACCGCCAUCUGGGAAUUUGUUAACAAUGCAGAUGUCUAGACCUACCCAAGACCUACGAAAUCAGAACCUUUGAAGGUGAAGCCCAGGGAUCUGUUUCAAUGAGGCUUGUAGGAGGUGAUUCAGACACGUGCUAACAUUUAAGGCUUACUAACCUACAGGACACUCUAAAGAGAGGUUUUUAGAAUUGCAUAAAGUAAACUCAUGAUUUAUCUUUAAAAGUUAUCCUUUUGCUAAUGUCAGAUGCGUUAUCCAUAGUAGAACAAAAGAAUUGUGUUCUGCCUGGAGAGGUUUGGGAGAGCAGAGAAAGCCUGGGUGAAGCACCAUGGAAAAUGAGGGAUACAUGAGGCUUCUGGUCACUCAGAAUGAGGAUGAAGAACAGAAGGAAAGAGAGCAUCAGAGACAUAUUUCACCUUCUUAUUAAGCCUGAAACAGAGAUGCAAAUCGUUUAAAACAUGAAAAUGACUAAAAUGACCUCGUAGAAGUAACAGUUUCCAGAAUCGAAUUUCUUCAUUUUAAUGUGAAGGAAUUCAACGUGAUCGCUAAGCUAUGUUCAAGCCCCGAGGUUCACCAAUAAAGAUUUACCUUGAAAAAAAAAAAAAAGUUAUCCUUUUCCUUACCUAAGCAGAUCCUCUGAAUCUCAGUUUCCUCGGAUCAUUUAGGUCUAAGAAAGGCCAAAUCAUCAGAAAGACCCUCCCUGUAUGUUCACUCGUAACCAUAGCCCCUCGUUUGUUAACAAAUAAUUUAUAUUUGUGUUAUUAUUUGUGGUCUGUUUACUUGCUUCUUGUCUGUCUUCCCAAGGAAGGUAAGUGUUCCACAAGAAGGGACGGAGUCUGUCUUAACCAACACCUGUAUCCAUCCCCAGCGCCUAACACAGUGAAUGGUACACAGUAGAGCUCAGCACCUAUGUGUUAAUUGCAUCAACAUCCUUAAGAAUGUAUUUAUUGGCAAAGAGUGUGUGUGGAUUGAAGAAGUACAGGAUUAAUAUUGAGGGUCAUUGUUUGGCUCAUAUUGAAAUUCGUGCCUGCUUCCAGG
Molecule: long non-coding RNA, 2916 nt
Organism: Balaenoptera acutorostrata (minke whale)
Lineage: Eukaryota; Metazoa; Chordata; Mammalia; Artiodactyla; Balaenopteridae
Exons: 5
Source: RefSeq, a predicted model, not a curated record